RNAcentral lists this ribosomal RNA (202 nucleotides) under uncultured bacterium. RNAcentral's name for it is "partial 16S ribosomal RNA". It matches the Rfam family "Bacterial small subunit ribosomal RNA", at positions 524 to 723 of the family's 1533-position model. The record is from RNAcentral.
UACGAAGGGGGCUAGCGUUGCUCGGAAUCACUGGGCGUAAAGGGUGCGUAGGCGGGUCUUUUAAGUCAGAGGUGAAAUCCUGGAGCUCAACUCCAGAACUGCCUUUGAUACUGGAAGAUCUUCGAGUUCGGGAGAGGUGAGUGGAACUGCGAGUGUAGAGGUGAAAUUCGUAGAUAUUCGCAAGAACACAGUGGCGAAGGCG